Molecule: ribosomal RNA, 149 nt
Filed under: Pardachirus pavoninus (Pacific sole)
Lineage: Eukaryota; Metazoa; Chordata; Actinopteri; Pleuronectiformes; Soleidae
Description: 5.8S ribosomal RNA
Rfam family: 5.8S ribosomal RNA
About the family: 5.8S ribosomal RNA (5.8S rRNA) is a component of the large subunit of the eukaryotic ribosome. It is transcribed by RNA polymerase I as part of the 45S precursor that also contains 18S and 28S rRNA.
Source: RNAcentral
UACAACUCUUAGCGGUGGAUCACUCGGCUCGUGCGUCGAUGAAGGACGCAGCUAGCUGCGAGAACUAAUGUGAAUUGCAGGACACAUUGAUCAUUGACACUUCGAACGCACCUUGCGGCCCCGGGGCUACGCCUGUCUGAGGGUCGCUU